CCUACGGGAGGCUGCAGUGGGGAAUAUUGGACAAUGGGGGCAACCCUGAUCCAGCCAUGCCGCGUGUGUGAAGAAGGCCCUCGGGUUGUAAAGCACUUUCAGUGAGGAAGAACGCCUGGUGGUUAAUACCCAUCAGGAAAGACAUCACUCACAGAAGAAGCACCGGCUAACUCCGUGCCAGCAGCCGCGGUAAUACGGAGGGUGCGAGCGUUAAUCGGAAUUACUGGGCGUAAAGCGCGCGUAGGUGGCUUGAUAAGCCGGUUGUGAAAGCCCCGGGCUCAACCUGGGAACGGCAUCCGGAGCUGUCAAGCUAGAGUGCAGGAGAGGAAGGUAGAAUUCCCGGUGUAGCGGUUAAAUGCGUAGAGAUCGGGAGGAAUACCAGUGGCGAAGGCGGCCUGCUGGACUGACACUGACACUGAGGUGCGAAAGCGUGGGUAGCAAACAGGAUUAGAUACCCGUGUAGUC
This 465-nucleotide ribosomal RNA is filed under the name Vreelandella stevensii. RNAcentral describes it as "partial 16S ribosomal RNA". It matches the Rfam family "Bacterial small subunit ribosomal RNA", at positions 338 to 795 of the family's 1533-position model. Lineage: Bacteria; Pseudomonadati; Pseudomonadota; Gammaproteobacteria; Oceanospirillales; Halomonadaceae. The record is from RNAcentral.